This 235-nucleotide ribosomal RNA is filed under the name uncultured bacterium. RNAcentral's name for it is "partial 16S ribosomal RNA". It matches the Rfam family "Bacterial small subunit ribosomal RNA", at positions 96 to 334 of the family's 1533-position model. The record is from RNAcentral.
CGGCGGACGGGUGAGUAACGCGUGGGUAACCUGCCUCAUACAGGGGAUAACAGUUGGAAACGGCUGCUAAUACCGCAUAAGCGCACAGUACCGCAUGGUACGGUGUGAAAAACUCCGGUGGUAUGAGAUGGACCCGCGUCUGAUUAGGUAGUUGGUGGGUAACGGCCUACCAAGCCGACGAUCAGUAGCCGACUGAGAGGGUGACCGGCCACAUUGGGACUGAGACACGGCCCAA